RNAcentral lists this long non-coding RNA (2239 nucleotides) under Homo sapiens (human). Its description in RNAcentral is "HSALNT0314086". Lineage: Eukaryota; Metazoa; Chordata; Mammalia; Primates; Hominidae. The record is from RNAcentral.
GGGACCCCAGAGGAGAGCCCAGGGGCCCCCCACAGUGGUGGAACACACCUCUUAUAGUGUUUAUACCCCCCAUGAGUUGUGGGAAUUAGGUAGGCAAUGCAGGCAGCACCCAGGGGAGCCCCUCCCAGCCCUGAUUACUCUGUCUUUGGGAUGAGGGGGCUGACAGCAUUUCUUGCUCUGCCUCCGAGAUGGAGAAGCUGGCCUCUAUCACAACUCACCCCUCCCUUCGUCAGCAGCUGCAGCUGUGCCAAUGCUUGGCACAAGGGCAAGGUGAGCACAUGUUAAUCAAGUGGCUGAUGGCAGCCAUACAGACUGUUUGGCAUGAUGCCGGUGAGACACCAGAAACUGUGAGUAAAUGGCAGUCAUACACUGAUUUGGUGCAGGUACUCUGGGAGAUGGGUGUGCAGCCAAGCAGGCUAUUUAGCAGGCACAAGCCCCAUGGUAGUGGGCCAGGGGUGCCCGUUUAAACUAGAUGUGCGUGUGACCACAGAUAGUUUCUGUGAGGGCCUAUGGUAGCACACGGAGCACCCGAGUACGUCAGUAGGCUUUUGGUGCCAAUUAUGGAAGGGAGCUGAGCUCUGUAAACUUCCUCUAAAUAGAUGGGAUAUUAAUGCAAGAAAAAAGCAUUUCUAUGAAAGCUAAGCUUCUUUGGAAAGAUUUAAAUACAAGUUGUUAAUAAGCAUUGUUAUCAAAUUAGGAAUGGACAGAACAUCUGCAAAAAGUUAAAUCAUAAAAGUCUAGGAGAAUUCUGCAUUAAGAUUUUUUUUUGUUUCAUCUAAAGAAAUCAGAUGUUACAUGAUGGCUGUGGUUUAUACAAGAAAGACAAUAGAGGACUCUUAACAACAGGCUCAUGGUAGAAGCAGCACCCUGGACUCCAGAUUAAUACAUUGACUGGAACUAGUUCACAGACCCAAAGAUGCUUGAAUGAAGGAAAGGCAGCCUUCCCUGGAGGAAGAACUCAACAGCGCUUCCACAAAUAGUACAUUUUUACUGAUUAUCAAAGAAGGACUGUGACUAAACUAGAAGGAGAAUUAACACUAUCCAGAGAUGGCUACAGUUCUGAAGGGAAACUUUGAGUCUCCACCUUUCCAAGAGUGGAUAAUCCUCUCUCCACAACUUGAUAAUGCACAAACUGCAAAUCUUCUGGUACUCACUGCUGCAAGCAAACUUGAAGUCUUUCUGAGCCUGACUCUUCAUUCCUGCCUUGUGUGACCCAGGGAUGGAGGACUGCCCUCCCAACUCAUUAUCCUCUUUGCCCAGGAGCUCCAUCCUGUUGCCAUCUGCUAAAAUCCUCAGCCCACCUGCAUAGUGAACAGCAUUCAUUGUUUUCCAGAAAUGUGCAAGAACCACAGUCUCCCCCAAGACUGAAGAUCUGCUUCAUCGACAUGGCAGGGAACGUGGCUGAACACAGAGGACUCAUUUUUGCAGCUUCCCUACCAGAGAGAGAGAGACACCCUUUUUACCCGAGUUCUGAGUUGAAAUAUCCUAGAAGAGAACUCUGAUUGGCCUGGCUUGGGUCACAUGCCUGUCCUUGAGUUGAUCAACUGUGAUUAGUUAUAAGUGUACUCAUUAGUAACUUCCCCUGGAACCUUAGAUUUGAUGUGGGGUAAGACUUCCAAAAACAAACAAAAAAAUAAAACAGAAGAAUGCUAUUUCUGGAGAAAAGAAUCUGAAAAAUAGAUUAACAAUAUAAAGGCAGCACAAGUAGCAAAGAGUUAAUAAGCUGUAAUUUCAGGAGCACUCCCUUAUUGUCUCAUAAUUCCUUGGACUACCUCCAAUAGUUAAGAAUCUUAGUAAUAACACUCUGAAAAAGGCAACUUGUGAAACUCACUUGAGUUUAAAUGACUGGUAGGCCAUCUCUUUUCUGAGAUCAGAACCUUUUGUUUGCAGAGGGAGAAAGAAAUAGGAUGGAGAAGGCAGACUUAGAGUGUCUGGAGGAAGUAGGAUGCAGGAAUUCUAUGCCACUGCCACUCCUUUGUCGUUUCUUGGUACCAAUUUCUCCCUGUCAAGCUGGUAGCGUUACUGAGGUAUCAAUACCACCAAUAGGGCCAUAGAGGUUGCAUAUCUCCAUCACUCACAUUAUACCCUAUAGAUUUCUAGAAUGUUUUACAACGUCAUUGUGAAUGGUGGCUUCUGGAGUUAAAUAAUGGGGCAGUCUACAUUGAUUAUCAAAUGUGCAUACUUGCUUCAUUUCAAAAGCUUUAUUUUAUUCUUAUUAUGUAUAUAAUACAUACAUCUG